RNAcentral lists this ribosomal RNA (465 nucleotides) under uncultured bacterium. RNAcentral describes it as "partial 16S ribosomal RNA". It matches the Rfam family "Bacterial small subunit ribosomal RNA", at positions 28 to 507 of the family's 1533-position model. The record is from RNAcentral.
GAUGAACGCUGGCGGCGUGCUUAACACAUGCAAGUCGAACGGAAAGGCUCCUGCUUGCAGGGGUACUCGAGUGGCGAACGGGUGAGUAACACGUGGGUAAUCUGCCCUGCACUUCGGGAUAAGCCUGGGAAACUGGGUCUAAUACCGGAUAUGACCACAUUUUGGAUGGUGUGGUGGAAAGUUUUUCGGUGUGGGAUGAGCUCGCGGCCUAUCAGCUUGUUGGUGGGGUAAUGGCCUACCAAGGCGUCGACGGGUAGCCGGCCUGAGAGGGUGUACGGCCACAUUGGGACUGAGAUACGGCCCAGACUCCUACGGGAGGCAGCAGUGGGGAAUAUUGCACAAUGGGCGCAAGCCUGAUGCAGCGACGCCGCGUGGGGGAUGACGGCCUUCGGGUUGUAAACUCCUUUCGCUAGGGACGAAGCGCAAGUGACGGUACCUUGAGAAGAAGCACCGGCUAACUACGUG